AAAUUACCGAUGAAAGAGAAAGUAAGAUAGUUGUUAAUGUUUUAGAAAGGUUCUCCUUGGCUGAAAGAGACCCCCUGACAAUUAUUUGAAAGACACUCUGGAGGUUUGAUAGUGAAAAGCUAUCACGUAGAAGGCGUUAACUUUAGAGUGAAAGUAGUUUGCUUUCUAAAUCUAGGUGGUACCACGUGACUUAAUUAUUAUACACGUCCUUCUU
Molecule: non-coding RNA, 214 nt
Filed under: Marinilactibacillus sp.
Lineage: Bacteria; Bacillati; Bacillota; Bacilli; Lactobacillales; Carnobacteriaceae
Description: T-box sequence
Rfam family: T-box leader
About the family: Uncharged tRNA acts as the effector for transcription antitermination of genes in the T-box leader family. T-boxes are found upstream of many aminoacyl-tRNA synthetase genes and some amino acid biosynthetic genes usually in Gram-positive bacteria.
Source: RNAcentral